CCCAGACUCCUACGGGAGGCAGCAGUGGGGGAUAUUGCACAAUGGGGGAAACCCUGAUGCAGCGACGCCGCGUGAGUGAAGAAGUAUUUCGGUAUGUAAAGCUCUAUCAGCAGGGAAGAAAAAAGACGGUACCUGACUAAGAAGCCCCGGCUAACUACGUGCCAGCAGCCGCGGUAAUACGUAGGGGGCAAGCGUUAUCCGGAUUUACUGGGUGUAAAGGGAGCGUAGACGGCAAUACAAGUCGGAAGUGAAAUACCCGGGCUCAACCUGGGAACUGCUUUGGAAACUGUAUGGCUGGAGUGCUGGAGAGGUAAGCGGAAUUCCUAGUGUAGCGGUGAAAUGCGUAGAUAUCAGGAGGAACACCGGCGGCGAAGGCGGCCUGCUGGACCGCGACUGACGUUGAGGCUCGAAAGCGUGGGGAGCGAACAGGAUUAGAUACCCGCGUA
RNAcentral lists this ribosomal RNA (446 nucleotides) under uncultured bacterium. Its description in RNAcentral is "bacterial SSU rRNA". It matches the Rfam family "Bacterial small subunit ribosomal RNA", at positions 330 to 792 of the family's 1533-position model. The record is from RNAcentral.